GAUGAAGAACGUAGCGAAAUGGGAUACGUAAUGUGAAUUGCAGAAUUCAGUGAAUCAUCGAAUCUUUGAACGCAUAUUGCGCUCUUUGGUAUUCCGAAGAGCAUGCUUGUUUGAGUAUCAGUAAACACCUCAACCUCUUCUUGAUUUUUCAAAAGGAGGGUGGACUUGAGCUAUCCCAACAACCUUUACCGGUCGGCGGGCGGCUUGAAAUGCAGGUGCAGCUGGACUUUUAUCUGAGCUAAAAGCAUAUCUAUUUAGUCCUCGUCAAACAGGAUUAUUACUUUUGCUGCAGCUAACAUAAAGGAUAAUUGUCCUCUUUGCUGACUGAUGCAGGAUUUUACGACACUUUAUGUGUUGUUCAACUCGAUCUCAAAUCAAGAAAGACUACCCGCUGAACUUAAGCAUAUCAAUAAGCGGAGGA
Molecule: unclassified non-coding RNA, 421 nt
Filed under: soil metagenome
Description: partial contains 5.8S ribosomal RNA, internal transcribed spacer 2, and large subunit ribosomal RNA
Rfam family: 5.8S ribosomal RNA (bases 1-120)
Source: RNAcentral